AUUAAAGUGGCAGAUAGAUAUGCAAGGAAUUUAAGCUUCCUAGAUGAAUAUUCCUUUAAUA
Molecule: transfer RNA, 61 nt
Filed under: Ornithodoros tholozani
Lineage: Eukaryota; Metazoa; Arthropoda; Arachnida; Ixodida; Argasidae
Description: tRNA-Leu
Source: RNAcentral